AUGAGUUCUCCCUGACUCCUUGAGAGUCCUGAAGGAACGUUGAAGACGACGACGUUGAUAGGCCGGGUGUGUAAGCGCAGCGAUGCGUUGAGCUAACCGGUACUAAUGAACCGUGAGGCUUAACCUUACAACGCCGAAGCUGUU
This 144-nucleotide ribosomal RNA is filed under the name Escherichia coli. RNAcentral's name for it is "partial 23S ribosomal RNA". The stretch from base 1 to 127 matches the Rfam family "Bacterial large subunit ribosomal RNA", at positions 2804 to 2925 of the family's 2925-position model. Lineage: Bacteria; Pseudomonadati; Pseudomonadota; Gammaproteobacteria; Enterobacterales; Enterobacteriaceae. The record is from RNAcentral.